UCUGGCUCAGGACGAACGCUGGCGGCGUGCUUAACACAUGCAAGUCGAGCGGAAAGGCCCUUCGGGGUACUCGAGCGGCGAACGGGUGAGUAACACGUGAGCAACCUGCCCUAGGCUUUGGGAUAACCCUCGGAAACGGGGGCUAAUACCGAAUAUUCACUCAUGGGCGCAUGUUUGUGGGUGGAAAGUUUUUCGGCUUGGGAUGGGCUCGCGGCCUAUCAGCUUGUUGGUGGGGUAAUGGCCUACCAAGGCGACGACGGGUAGCCGGCCUGAGAGGGCGACCGGCCACACUGGGACUGAGACACGGCCCAGACUCCUACGGGAGGCAGCAGUGGGGAAUAUUGCACAAUGGGCGGAAGCCUGAUGCAGCGACGCCGCGUGAGGGAUGACGGCCUUCGGGUUGUAAACCUCUUUCAGCAGGGACGAAGCGCAAGUGACGGUACCUGCAGAAGAAGCGCCGGCCAACUACGUGCCAGCAGCCGCGGUAAGACGUAGGGCGCGAGCGUUGUCCGGAUUUAUUGGGCGUAAAGAGCUCGUAGGCGGCUUGUCGCGUCGACUGUGAAAACCCGUGGCUCAACUGCGGGCCUGCAGUCGAUACGGGCAGGCUAGAGUUCGGUAGGGGAGACUGGAAUUCCUGGUGUAGCGGUGAAAUGCGCAGAUAUCAGGAGGAACACCGGUGGCGAAGGCGGGUCUCUGGGCCGAUACUGACGCUGAGGAGCGAAAGCGUGGGGAGCGAACAGGAUUAGAUACCCUGGUAGUCCACGCUGUAAACGUUUGACGCCAUGUGUGGGGGGCCUCUCCGGAUCUCGGUGCCGCAGCUUACGCAUUAAGCGCCCUGCCUGGGGAGUAGGGCCGCGAGGCUAAAACUCAAAGGAAUUUACGGGGGCCCGCACAAGCGGCGGAGCAUGCGGAUUAAUUCGAUGCAACGCGAAGAACCUUACCUGGGUUUGACAUCGCCGGAAAUCCUGCAGAGAUGUGGGGUCCUUCGGGGCCGGUGACAGGUGGUGCAUGGUUGGCGUCCGCUCGUGUCGUGAGAUGUUGGGUUAAGUCCCG
RNAcentral lists this ribosomal RNA (1053 nucleotides) under Micromonospora gifhornensis. RNAcentral describes it as "bacterial SSU rRNA". It matches the Rfam family "Bacterial small subunit ribosomal RNA", at positions 18 to 1089 of the family's 1533-position model. The record is from RNAcentral. Lineage: Bacteria; Bacillati; Actinomycetota; Actinomycetes; Micromonosporales; Micromonosporaceae.